UACGUAGGGGGCAAGCGUUAUCCGGAAUUAUUGGGCGUAAAGCGCGCGCAGGCGGUUUCUUAAGUCUGCUGUGAAAGCCCACGGCUCAACCGUGGAGGGUCAUUGGAAACUGGGGAGCUUGAGUGCAGAAGAGAAAAGCGGAAUUCCAGGUGUAGCGGUGAAAUGCGUAGAGAUCUGGAGGAACACCGAUGGCGAAGGCAGCCUUCUGGGCCAACACUGACGCUCAUGCACGAAAGCGUGGGGAGCAAACAGG
This 253-nucleotide ribosomal RNA is filed under the name uncultured bacterium. RNAcentral's name for it is "partial 16S ribosomal RNA". It matches the Rfam family "Bacterial small subunit ribosomal RNA", at positions 524 to 776 of the family's 1533-position model. The record is from RNAcentral.